Small nucleolar RNA from Prosopis cineraria, 90 nucleotides. RefSeq annotates it as small nucleolar RNA snoR114. The record is from RefSeq and is a predicted model, not a curated record. The transcript has a single exon. Lineage: Eukaryota; Viridiplantae; Streptophyta; Magnoliopsida; Fabales; Fabaceae.
GAGCCAUGAUGAGUUCUUGCACAUACUGUGUGGUUGAGGUUUAAUCACGCUCUCCUGAUCCCGCGCAUGAAAUCUUGUGCGCCUGAGCUU